CACGUAGGAGCCUAGCGUUAUCCGAAUUUACUGGGCGUAAAGCGCGUGCAGGCGGUUCGAUAAGUUGGGUGUGAAAUCUCCUGGCUCAACUGGGAGAGGUGUCUCAAUACUGUCGAGCUCGAGGAUGGUAGAGGGAGGUGGAAUUCCGGGUGUAGUGGUGAAAUGCGUAGAUAUCCGGAGGAAUACCAGUGGCGAAGGCGGCCUCCUGGACCAUUCCUGACGCUCAGACGCGAAAGCUAGGGGAGCGAACGGG
Molecule: ribosomal RNA, 253 nt
Filed under: uncultured bacterium
Lineage: Bacteria
Description: partial 16S ribosomal RNA
Rfam family: Bacterial small subunit ribosomal RNA
Source: RNAcentral